Long non-coding RNA from Asparagus officinalis (garden asparagus), 2203 nucleotides. RefSeq lists it as uncharacterized. The transcript has 3 exons. Lineage: Eukaryota; Viridiplantae; Streptophyta; Magnoliopsida; Asparagales; Asparagaceae. The record is from RefSeq and is a predicted model, not a curated record.
AUUUCACAGGUGCGUAAUAAUUUUGAUGUCGGUCACCAACUAACUAGUCUCAAUUUUUAGUAUGAAGAACAAGCUGAGACAAUUGAUAUUAUUUGAAGAUAUAUGUUAUUUGAGCCAAGGGUAUGUCAAUCAAGUAAACUAGAAUUUUAAUAAAGUUCAAAAGGUUGCAUUUAUACUUUAUGUGUGUAUUAUAUUUUAUUUCAUUGAUAUAGUAAGCUUUCUGCCUAUAUUUUACAGGUUGCAUUUAUUAAAUAACCAAAAGGUGUAUUUUAGUCUAUUUUUGGAAUACUUGCUCCUGUAUUGUGGAGAAACAGAACAUUUACACCCAUUCAUGUAUCUGUAUGAACAAGAUUUUUGGAAUAUUUGCUCCUGUAUUGUGGAGAAACAGAACAUUUACUUGCUCCUAUCAUGUAUCUAUAUGCAUUUAUUGUUACCAGUUAAGUCCAACCAUACUUGGUAUUCAUUCCUUUUCAGUUACACUAACCGUAACUUGCUUUUCAUUUAAUAUGUGAUCUAUGAUAGAUGACCUAGUUCUAUAAUUGCAUACAUUAAACAGUAGAUCUGUCACUUAGCCCCGACACCUCCUUUCUUCUUUGGACCCAGAAGGAAGAGAGAAUCUAGACAAAUUUAUACAGUUGACUUGACAAAUUUAUCAAAGAAAUAUCAUGAUGGCAAUAAGCAUCCUUCUUGAAUGACAUUGUUGCAGGGGAAUACCAUCUUUUUUAAAAAUAUUCGAGAACGAUAUAUACUUCAUCUAGGUUACUUUUGACUAUUUUCUGGUGAUUCAUGUACAUACUUCAAUGAUGUAUAAAUGAUUAGAUUGCAGUAUAAUGAAACAUUUAGAGCUGAAAUGUAAUAUAAACGAGACCCUCAAAUACUCCAUUUGACUUGAAUACUUCUUGAAUGAAACAUUUAGAGCUAAAAAAAUUUUGUCGUUGUUUAUUGUUGCAUAAACAUCUUAAACUAAUUUUUCUUUGUAACGAAUGUAGAUGGAUGGUGUAGAUGAAGAACAAAUAAAGAGGAUGUGUUCUAAUACGACUAUAUCUUCCGUGGUUACAAUAAUAGUUUGUUUAUUGAGAAUUCGUGCUAGGCGCAAAUCCAUUUGUUAUGCUCCAAGAGAGGACAAGAUGAGGAAAAUUUAUUGUAGAAAUGCCCACUUCAAGCGCAUAUUUGAAGGAUAUAGUGAUAGUUGUAGGUCUUAUAUUAGAAUGAGGCCUAAAGCUUUUUCAAACUUGCGGAUGUUAUGCGAAAUCAUGGUUUUUUAAAGGACACAAAACACCUUCAAGUUGAAGAACAACUUGCUAUGUUUCUUUGCAUAGUGGGUCACAAAACACCUUCAAGUUGAAGAACAAAUUUGUGCUCGUUGUCGAGCUAUGAGGCUGUUUUUCCAUUUAAUAUGCUGAUUCGAGCUUGUUUAACUCUCUAUUGUCGGGUUUUUGGAUCGAUAUUUGUGCUCGUUGUCGAGCUUUGGGGCUGUUUUUUAUAUUUAAUAUGCUAAUUCGAGCUUGUUUAGCUCUCUAUUGUUGUGUUUUUUUGGUCGACAUCUGAUGCUAGAAAUUUCUUGGAUGGUGAUCUUAUUGAAUCUUUCCUUGAUCUUAACCGUGUGAAAGGUAGAUGUAUGAGUUUCUGCUCGAGAUAAUUUUCUUGUUAAUUAAAAUGGGUAUUUGAAUAAUGCUGAGUUAAGGCCUGAUUUCAGGGAAUUAUCCUGAAUGGGAUGAGCACCAUCCAAUUCAUUUUGUUGGGCACUCGGCUGGAGCUCAAGUUAUUCGAGUGUUGCAGCAAAUGCUAGCCGAUAAGACCUUUGAAGGCUAUGACAACAGUAAUGAGGAAUGAGUAUUGAGUGUCACUUCUCUAAGUGGAUCUCUAAAUGGAACUACAAGAUCAUAUUUUGAUGGAAUGCAGCCAGAUGAUGGGAGAUCAAUGAAAUCAAUAUGCCUUCUUCAGCUCUGUCGACUAGGAGUCAUCGUCUACGACCAUGGAUGUUCCUGUUGAGGAGCUCUGCAGGAGAGUUGAGGAGCUUGCAAAAUUACAAUGAAAACAUAUGUCAAAAAUAUAUUUACUUUAGUUCUAUUUUAUGUUCCGUCCUCAAGUUAUUUCUGGUCUUCAAUAUUUUAGUUUUAUUUACCAAAAAUUAUUGCUUGAGAUAAUUUUCUUGUUAUGAGUUAUUAUGAUUCAAUCGAGCGUUUGUAAUAUGUUUGUGGCA